UCACAGGUGGUGCAUGGCUGUCGUCAGCUCGUGUCGUGAGAUGUUGGGUUAAGUCCCGCAACGAGCGCAACCCUCGUUCGAUGUUGCCAGCGCGUUAUGGCGGGGACUCAUCGAAGACUGCCGGGGUCAACUCGGAGGAAGGUGGGGAUGACGUCAAGUCAUCAUGCCCCUUAUGUCCAGGGCUUCACGCAUGCUACAAUGGCCGGUACAAUGGGUUGCGAUGCCGUGAGGUGGAGCGAAUCCCAAAAAGCCGGUCUCAGUUCGGAUCGGGGUCUGCAACUCGACCCCGUGAAGUCGGAGUCGCUAGUAAUCGCAGAUCAGCAACGCUGCGGUGAAUACGUUCCCGGGCCUUGUACACACCGCCCGUCACGUCACGAAAGUCGGCAACACCCGAAGCCGGUGGCCCAACCCUUGUGGAGGGAGCCG
RNAcentral lists this ribosomal RNA (426 nucleotides) under maize root bacterium ZmrIs34. RNAcentral's name for it is "bacterial SSU rRNA". It matches the Rfam family "Bacterial small subunit ribosomal RNA", at positions 1032 to 1455 of the family's 1533-position model. The record is from RNAcentral.